UCCGUGAAGUGAAGUCCAUCCUCCGUGUGUCUGAAGACGAGCCUCCUUCUCUACACACUGACGGAUGAGCGCUUUCAGGAUCCUAAACUUUGGCUCCGCCCACAGCACGAGCAGCCGGCUACAACCACAGACUGUGCGUUUAGAUGAGACACACAUGUGCCACUCAUUUCCUCAAGAAAUAUCUCCUUACUACGCGUGCAAUUACAGUGGAAAAAACAAGAAAAGAGAUGAAAUCAGCGGAGAGAAAGGAAGGAAAGUCUAAGACACAAAAACUGGAGGCUACAACAGAGAUAUCUACAAAACUGAAGAUGAUGCAUGAGGAGACCGUCGCUCUCCACGCCGAUGAUUCAUGACUAUUCAAGUGACGCAGCACUCUCUGGUCUGAAGGUGUCCCAUUUUCCUCCUCUAUAAAUCUACCUGAGUCGACUUGUUUUGACAAGUUGGUCACAUAUCAUAGAUAGGGAUGACUUGCUGUUUUGAUAACUUUAAAUCAAACUGCUCUUGCGGCUAACUGUGACCGUUUGUUUCAGCACAUUUUGGUAACUGACAGAAACAAAUGUCUCUAGAGGAGAUAAGAGCUGGAAUAAAUAUAUGUUUGUCAGUAACUUUUAAGCACAUGUGAAACCAUUAUCGUACAUUUAUCCUGCAUUGUUGAUGCUGUUCUGUUAAAACUGAUGAAUCAUCUGAAUCACUGUGUUGUCAGGGUCGCUAACAAUCAUAUUAACAUGAUUACAACUUUGGCUCAAAUCAUCGGCACACCACAUGCUUACGGUGACAUUGCUAACAUGCUAGGCAGGUGUAAUAUCUUGCAAAUUAUACAGAACUCAAAAGUCAUGAGCCAAAUCUUUACAACACACUGCAGAAAAGGGUUUUUGUUAUGCUGUGUGGUCACGUCGAAGAAGUGACUAAGACUAUGCCUAUUCAUGCAGAAACAGAGCAAACUUAACACUGUUGAUUUUUGAGUUUGAUGUCGAUGCAAACUAUUCUCCCAUGAUGCAAAUGAGGCUGAAAUAGUUUGGCUGAAGUUGGUGGUGAAACAGUUCCAAAAAUAUUGUAAAACUGAUUAAUAAGUAUUAAAUCUUUGACAAAACAUUGGUUCUUCCCUGUGAGUAUAUAAGUAUGGUGUUUUAGUAACAACCCAAUAGCAACCACACAGGAAUUUGUCAUAGUUUUGGAAAAAAAAAAAAUCUGACCAGCUGAGGAGCCUGAAUGGUCAAGUUUUUAUUAAAUCAGUCUGAAAGUUAUUUGUUUCCUAAAUAAAUGCUCUAAAUGUCACCUUCUGGUGCCAAUAGAGAAACAGUCAGUGUUCAUUGUGGAGACCUCCAAAUGCUAUCAAAAAUUCAUGAAACCUUUCUUCAAUAUUGUAAUAAAUAACUUAUUUUUGGCAA
This is a long non-coding RNA of Notolabrus celidotus (New Zealand spotty), 1388 nucleotides long. RefSeq lists it as uncharacterized. The transcript has 3 exons. The record is from RefSeq and is a predicted model, not a curated record. Lineage: Eukaryota; Metazoa; Chordata; Actinopteri; Labriformes; Labridae.